RNAcentral lists this ribosomal RNA (461 nucleotides) under uncultured bacterium. RNAcentral's name for it is "SSU rRNA". It matches the Rfam family "Bacterial small subunit ribosomal RNA", at positions 26 to 518 of the family's 1533-position model. The record is from RNAcentral.
AGAAUCAACGCUGGCGGCGCGCUUAACACAUGCAAGUCGCACGAGAAAGCAGGAGCAAUCUUGUGAGUACAGUGGCGCACGGGUGAGUAACACGUGGAUCAUCUACCUUCUAGUGGGGAAUACCCCUGGGAAACCGGGGAUAAUACCGCAUAAGCUCGAAAGAGGAAAGUCGAAAGGCGCUGGAAGAGGAGUCCGCGGCUGAUUAGCUAGUUGGUGGGGUAACGCCCACCAAGGCGAAGAUCGGUAGCCGGCCUGAGAGGGCACACGGCCACACUGGCACUGAAACACGGGCCAGACUCCUACGGGAGGCAGCAGUGGGGAAUCUUGCACAAUGGGGGCAACCCUGAUGCAGCGACGCCGCGUGAGCGAUGAAGCCCUUCGGGGUGUAAAGCUCUUUCGACGGGAACGAUUAUGACGGUACCCGAAGAAGAAGCUGCGGCUAACUACGUGCCAGCAGCCGC